Molecule: long non-coding RNA, 1218 nt
Organism: Bubalus bubalis (water buffalo)
Lineage: Eukaryota; Metazoa; Chordata; Mammalia; Artiodactyla; Bovidae
Exons: 2
Source: RefSeq, a predicted model, not a curated record
UGAAAAUUACUGUUUUGAAUCUAUGUUUUCCAGGUGUAAGGAAAAAAAAACCUUCCUCUCAAACUAAUUAUGACAGUAAUUUGGUAAAAUUACAUUUUAUAAACAAGCUGAAACAUUUAUCUUUUCUCUCUAUCUGAACCUUCCAGAGAUUGGAAGCUUAGUUUCCAGUAAUUUUAUCAGAUAAGUUAGGAAGGUUACUCAGUAACAGGUAUAGAAAUCUAAAGGAAUUUUGGAAACCUUGAGAAGGAAUGAAUUUACUUAGAUCUGUUAGGCAAAAUCUGUGAUAAGCCUUUGGCAUGACUUUCCCAGCCCCAAAAGGUUUUAUUUUAAAAGUUCAGUCUGAGCAAAGCAAGUCUCAGCAAAGCAAAAAAGUCUAUGAUCAAUUAUGAUUAAUGUAAAUCAUCAGGCCAAGUUUCUUGAGACCAGACCUAUAUUACAAACAGGUCUUAAUUAGGUUAAAUUUGGUAAAGAUGAUGGUGAUUUUAGAAAGAGAUGUUUCGAUGAAUGUUAAAUCCUAGUUUGUUAAUGGAGGUCUGUAUCUACUAAGACUUAUUUCCAGGAUAGUUCUUUGCUGUUAGGUAUAUUAAUGUAAAAUUUAAUUGAAUUAUUAAAGGACACUCUAAGGUUGCUUCUGAAGCUUAUCGCAGAAAUCUCUCUUUGGAUGAAGAUCAGAUGCCUCACACAUGAUCUUCAAUCAAGACUGGAAGAAGACAUAAUUUAAGGAACUGUCUCCAACCUGGAUGGAAGGACCUUUCUAUCAGGAAACUACACUACACUAGGAGGAGAAGAUGAUGACAUCAGAAGCAGACAGCUUGCCCAAGAUGCUGAUCCGACUUGUAUGAUCAUUUAUAAUGUUUUCUUGAUUCCUUGGACCUAUGCCUAUCAAUCCCAUGUUUUCUAUCAUGGACAUGAUUCUAUGCUAGUUUAAAACUCAAUCCAAUUGUUGGGUUGUGGCCAAUUACCUGUGCCUAUUCUGGGUUACCUUGGUGCAUUUCUGUUCUUUAGGGCUCUGAUUGGAUACCCCCUGGGAAAUUUGUUUUAUAUGAGUGUUCAGUCCUGUUCUGUCUAUUCAUAAUAGUUCUAGAUGGGAUCCGCUCACCUGGCCAAUUAAAAAUACCUGCUCUGAGGCUGGCCAUAGAUUUAAGUUUUCUCUUAGGGUCAUUUAAACUCAAUCGGAGUGCUGAGCUAAGUCUCAAUAAAAAAUUAACUUCUCACCUA